CAGGGACGUCCCAGCAGAACCCAUUUCCAUCUAGUAUUAACAUGUUAUCUGUAUCUGGAUGGGGGGGGGGGGGCCCCAGGAAGUGCAUUGGGCUUUGAAGCCAAUUUGUAUAAAAUGUAUACAACAUUGUCGGCUACAGGGUGUUAAUCAGGAAAAUAGGGGUGAGAAUAUUUUCUUUCUCUACAUUUUGGGAGUUUAAAUUUUCCUAUGUUUUGUGUCUAAGUGACUGAUGGGAACACUAAUCUUUGACAUUGGUCCAGUAUUAAGCGAGAUCGCUGCAGUCGGCAGCGGCGAAACAAUCUACAAUGUAAAUUAAUAGGGCAAUCGUCCAGUUUGUGUUUACCUU
This is a long non-coding RNA of Sander lucioperca (pikeperch), 346 nucleotides long. RefSeq lists it as uncharacterized. The record is from RefSeq and is a predicted model, not a curated record. The transcript has 2 exons. Lineage: Eukaryota; Metazoa; Chordata; Actinopteri; Perciformes; Percidae.